This 496-nucleotide ribosomal RNA is filed under the name uncultured bacterium. RNAcentral's name for it is "partial 16S ribosomal RNA". It matches the Rfam family "Bacterial small subunit ribosomal RNA", at positions 28 to 506 of the family's 1533-position model. The record is from RNAcentral.
GAUGAACGCUGGCGGCGUGCCUAAUACAUGCAAGUCGAGCGAACGGACGAGAAGCUUGCUUCUCUGAUGUUAGCGGCGGACGGGUGAGUAACACGUGGAUAACCUACCUAUAAGACUGGGAUAACUUCGGGAAACCGGAGCUAAUACCGGAUAAUAUUUUGAACCGCAUGGUUCAAAAGUGAAAGACGGUCUUGCUGUCACUUAUAGAUGGAUCCGCGCUGCAUUAGCUAGUUGGUAAGGUAACGGCUUACCAAGGCAACGAUGCAUAGCCGACCUGAGAGGGUGAUGGGCCAAACUGGAACUGAGACACGGUCCAGACUCCUACGGGAGGCAGCAGUAGGGAAUUUUCCGCAAUGGGCGAAAGCCUGACGGAGCAACGCCGCGUGAGUGAUGAAGGUCUGCGGAUCGUAAAACUCUGUUAUUAGGAAAGAACAUAUGUGUAAGUAACUGUGCACAUCUUGACGGUACCAAAUCAGAAAGCAACGGCUAACUACGU